GCGCGAGUGGCGGAAUUUGGCAGACGCGCAGGAUUCAGGUUCCUGUGUCCGGUAGGACGUGGGGGUUCAAGUCCCCCCUCGCGCA
This 85-nucleotide transfer RNA is filed under the name Acidimicrobiaceae bacterium. RNAcentral describes it as "tRNA-Leu". It matches the Rfam family "tRNA". From Rfam's summary of the family: Transfer RNA (tRNA) molecules are approximately 80 nucleotides in length. Their secondary structure includes four short double-helical elements and three loops (D, anti-codon, and T loops). The record is from RNAcentral. Lineage: Bacteria; Bacillati; Actinomycetota; Acidimicrobiia; Acidimicrobiales; Acidimicrobiaceae.